RNAcentral lists this transfer RNA (76 nucleotides) under Thermodesulfovibrionales bacterium. Its description in RNAcentral is "tRNA-His". It matches the Rfam family "tRNA". From Rfam's summary of the family: Transfer RNA (tRNA) molecules are approximately 80 nucleotides in length. Their secondary structure includes four short double-helical elements and three loops (D, anti-codon, and T loops). The record is from RNAcentral. Lineage: Bacteria; Pseudomonadati; Nitrospirota; Thermodesulfovibrionia; Thermodesulfovibrionales.
GUGAGCGUAGCUCAAUGGUCAGAGCAUUGGACUGUGGCUCCAAGGGUUGGGGGUUCAAGUCCCCUCGCUCACCCCA